AACGAACGCUGGCGGCAUGCCUAACACAUGCAAGUCGAACGAGACCUUCGGGUCUAGUGGCGCACGGGUGCGUAACGCGUGGGAACCUGCCCUUAGGUUCGGAAUAACUCCCCGAAAGGGGUGCUAAUACCGGAUAAUGUCUUCGGACCAAAGAUUUAUCGCCUUUGGAUGGGCCCGCGUUGGAUUAGCUAGUUGGUAGGGUAAAAGCCUACCAAGGCGACGAUCCAUAGCUGGUCUGAGAGGAUGAUCAGCCACACUGGGACUGAGACACGGCCCAGACUCCUACGGGAGGCAGCAGUGGGGAAUAUUGGACAAUGGGCGAAAGCCUGAUCCAGCAAUGCCGCGUGAGUGAUGAAGGCCUUAGGGUUGUAAAGCUCUUUUACCCGGGAUGAUAAUGACAGUACCGGGAGAAUAAGCUCGGGCUAACUCCGUG
RNAcentral lists this ribosomal RNA (433 nucleotides) under uncultured bacterium. Its description in RNAcentral is "partial 16S ribosomal RNA". It matches the Rfam family "Bacterial small subunit ribosomal RNA", at positions 29 to 507 of the family's 1533-position model. The record is from RNAcentral.